GACGAACGCUGGCGGCGUGCCUAAUACAUGCAAGUUGAGCGAUGAAGAUUGGUGCUUGCCCCAAUUUGAAGAGCAGCGAACGGGUGAGUAACGCGUGGGGAAUCUGCCUUUGAGCGGGGGACAACAUUUGGAAACGAAUGCUAAUACCGCAUAACAACUUUAAACAUAAGUUUUAAGUUUGAAAGAUGCAAUUGCAUCACUCAAAGAUGAUCCCGCGUUGUAUUAGCUAGUUGGUGAGGUAAAGGCUCACCAAGGCGAUGAUACAUAGCCGACCUGAGAGGGUGAUCGGCCACAUUGGGACUGAGACACGGCCCAAACUCCUACGGGAGGCAGCAGUAGGGAAUCUUCGGCAAUGGACGAAAGUCUGACCGAGCAACGCCGCGGGAGUGAAGAAGGGUGUCGGAUCGUAAAACUCGGUUGGUAGAGAAGAACGUUGGUGAGAGUGGAAAGCUCAUCAAGUGACGGUAACUACCCAGAAAGGGACGGCUAACUACGUG
RNAcentral lists this ribosomal RNA (497 nucleotides) under uncultured bacterium. RNAcentral describes it as "partial 16S ribosomal RNA". It matches the Rfam family "Bacterial small subunit ribosomal RNA", at positions 28 to 507 of the family's 1533-position model. The record is from RNAcentral.